This 424-nucleotide ribosomal RNA is filed under the name uncultured Ferruginibacter sp. RNAcentral describes it as "bacterial SSU rRNA". It matches the Rfam family "Bacterial small subunit ribosomal RNA", at positions 356 to 777 of the family's 1533-position model. The record is from RNAcentral. Lineage: Bacteria; Pseudomonadati; Bacteroidota; Chitinophagia; Chitinophagales; Chitinophagaceae.
AAGGAAUAUUGGUCAAUGGACGAAAGUCUGAACCAGCCAUGCCGCGUGAAGGAUGAAGGUCCUCUGGAUUGUAAACUUCUUUUAUCUGGGACGAAAAAAGGGAAUUCUUUCUCACUUGACGGUACCAGAGGAAUAAGCACCGGCUAACUCCGUGCCAGCAGCCGCGGUAAUACGGAGGGUGCAAGCGUUAUCCGGAUUCACUGGGUUUAAAGGGAGCGUAGGUGGGCAGGUAAGUCAGUGGUGAAAUCUUUGGGCUUAACCCGAAAACUGCCAUUGAUACUAUCUGUCUUGAAUGUUCUGGAGGUAAGCGGAAUAUGUCAUGUAGCGGUGAAAUGCUUAGAUAUGACAUAGAACACCCAUUGCGAAGGCAGCUUACUACGGAAAUAUUGACACUGAGGCUCGAAAGCGUGGGGAUCAAACAGGA